Molecule: long non-coding RNA, 1003 nt
Filed under: Gossypium barbadense (sea-island cotton)
Lineage: Eukaryota; Viridiplantae; Streptophyta; Magnoliopsida; Malvales; Malvaceae
Description: long non-coding RNA (GBAR_LNC011663)
Source: RNAcentral
ACAUGAGGACCGGUCAACUUGUUUUUUGUUCUUUGUUUUAUUUGCAUCCUGAGGCUCAAUUACUUCAGCAGCCGUCUCAUCAUCGGUAGCUUUCACUCCAGUAUUCACUUUUGCAUCUCCUCUCUCUUCACAGUCCGACGAUGAUGAAGUAGGUGAUUUAGAUGAUGAAUGCUGACCUUGCAAAGCUUCAGAGUUCUCAGGGUCUAGUUGCUCAACCUGCAGAGAUAGAGCUUGAUCAGUUUUACCCUUUUGUUCUGUCUUGGCAGCUGGAGGUUGACCAUUCUCCAUUGGUGGAACUGCAGCAGUGGAUGCAGGAAAACAGGUAAAGCCUGUAUGCAGAGGAGCACAUACAGGAAACAGUCCAUGGGCGGCCCACCAUGCAGUGGCAGCUGCUACAGUUGCAGCAGCGAUUGCAGCCAUUCUUGGAGCAGAGUUCAUUUGUCUAGAUGGGAAACCUCCUAAGCCGCCUGCAGGAGAAUCGCCAGAGCUUUCAAUAUUCGCAUAAGGCCAAAAUCUUGCUGCAAAGCUUGCUGCAGCAUGGGCAGCUGGAUUCUGUAACAAAGUAGAUACAAUGAGACUGGAAAAAGUGGAGGAGACAUGUAGAAAUGAUCGAUAGUCCUCUUGAUUUGGGCGAAGAUGCAUAAAGGGAGUAUGAAAAGGUGGCAGUGCCUGCUGAGUUGAUCUCGGAGCAUUAUUCUGAUGUUCAGUAGUUGCAGAUGCAGCUAGAUUUGCGGACAGGUUAGGUCCAUGAACAUCACCCAUAGGGCAAAAUACAGAAUCCUGAAAUGACAUAUCCAGGGAAGGAUUUUGAGCACAUGUUCUCAGGCUUCCAUCUAGGACAUGCACAGAAACAUGUCUAGGAUAAUUUUGAGCGGCUUGCAUUUCAUCUGCACAUAAAGCACCAUCCAAAUCAUCUUUUCUUUGGCCUUGAGCUGGUUUAUCAUAUGAGGUGCAGGAAUACUCCAGGUUUGAGGCCUUACUUGUACCAUUAUCAUGAAUUUUC